Molecule: ribosomal RNA, 445 nt
Filed under: uncultured Fusibacter sp.
Lineage: Bacteria; Bacillati; Bacillota; Clostridia; Eubacteriales; Fusibacteraceae
Description: bacterial SSU rRNA
Rfam family: Bacterial small subunit ribosomal RNA
Source: RNAcentral
UGGCCUACGGGGGGCUGCAGUGGGGAAUAUUGCACAAUGGGCGCAAGCCUGAUGCAGCAACGCCGCGUGAAUGAUGAAGGCCUUCGGGUCGUAAAGUUCUGUCCUAAGGGAAGAAUACAGUGACGGUACCUUAGGAGGAAGCCCCGGCUAACUACGUGCCAGCAGCCGCGGUAAUACGUAGGGGGCAAGCGUUAUCCGGAAUCACUGGGCGUAAAGGGAGCGUAGGCGGUUUGACAAGCCAGAGGUGAAAGGCAAUAGCUUAACUAUUGUAAGCCUUUGGAACUGUCGAACUUGAGUGUAGGAGAGGAAAGUGGAAUUCCUAGUGUAGCGGUGAAAUGCGUAGAUAUUAGGAGGAACACCAGUGGCGAAGGCGACUUUCUGGACUAUAACUGACGCUGAGGCUCGAAAGCGUGGGGAGCAAACAGGAUUAGAUACCCCAGUAGUC